AACGAACGCUGGCGGCAUGCCUAACACAUGCAAGUCGAACGAGACCUUCGGGUCUAGUGGCGCACGGGUGCGUAACGCGUGGGAACCUGCCCUUAGGUUCGGAAUAACUCCCCGACAGGGGUGCUAAUACCGGAUAAUGUCUUCGGACCAAAGAUUUAUCGCCCUUGGAUGGGCCCGCGUUGUAUUAGCUAGUUGGUAGGGUAAAAGCCUACCAAGGCGACGAUCCAUAGCUGGUCUGAGAGGAUGAUCAGCCACACUGGGACUGAGACACGGCCCAGACUCCUACGGGAGGCAGCAGUGGGGAAUAUUGGACAAUGGGCGAAAGCCUGAUCCAGCAAGGCCGCGUGAGUGAUGAAGGCCUUAGGGUUGUAAAGCUCUUUUACCCGGGAUGAUAAUGACAGUACCGGGAGAAUAAGCUCCGGCUAACUCCGUG
RNAcentral lists this ribosomal RNA (433 nucleotides) under uncultured bacterium. Its description in RNAcentral is "partial 16S ribosomal RNA". It matches the Rfam family "Bacterial small subunit ribosomal RNA", at positions 29 to 507 of the family's 1533-position model. The record is from RNAcentral.